This 274-nucleotide ribosomal RNA is filed under the name uncultured bacterium. RNAcentral's name for it is "partial 16S ribosomal RNA". It matches the Rfam family "Bacterial small subunit ribosomal RNA", at positions 523 to 796 of the family's 1533-position model. The record is from RNAcentral.
AUACGGAGGGUGCAAGCAUUAUUCGGAAUCACUGGGCGUAAAGGACGCGCAGGCGGUCUUUUAAGUUGGAUGUGAAAGCCUACGGCUCAACCGUAGAACUGCAUCCAAAACUAUUUAGCUAGAGUGUGGGAGAGGAAGAUGGAAUUAGUUGUGUAGGGGUAAAAUCCGUAGAGAUAACUAGGAAUACCAAAAGCGAAGGCAAUCUUCUGGAACACUACUGACGCUGAGGCGCGAAAGCGUGGGGAACAAACAGGAUUAGAUACCCUUGUAGUCC